UAUUCUGCCCCAUGGGGAAGGGUAAGAACCUUCGACUAAGGUUCGACUCGAGCGCAGCGAGAGAACGUUGCCGCAGGCAACGGCCCGAAGGGCGAGGAGAGAUAGCGACGAGUUAUCCUUCCCCCACCACCA
Molecule: small RNA, 132 nt
Filed under: Klebsiella pneumoniae subsp. pneumoniae
Lineage: Bacteria; Pseudomonadati; Pseudomonadota; Gammaproteobacteria; Enterobacterales; Enterobacteriaceae
Description: RtT sRNA
Rfam family: RtT RNA
About the family: This family represents a bacterial cis-regulatory element known as RtT RNA.
Source: RNAcentral